RNAcentral lists this ribosomal RNA (490 nucleotides) under uncultured bacterium. RNAcentral's name for it is "partial 16S ribosomal RNA". It matches the Rfam family "Bacterial small subunit ribosomal RNA", at positions 30 to 507 of the family's 1533-position model. The record is from RNAcentral.
AUUGAACGCUGGCGGCAGGCCUAACACAUGCCAGUCGAACGGUAACAGGAAGAAGCUUGCUUCUUUGCUGACGAGUGGCGGACGGGUGAGUAAUGUCUGGGAAACUGCCUGAUGGAGGGGGAUAACUACUGGAAACGGUAGCUAAUACCGCAUAACGUCGCAAGACCAAAGAGGGGGACCUUCGGGCCUCUUGCCAUCGGAUGUGCCCAGAUGGGAUUAGCUAGUAGGUGGGGUAACGGCUCACCUAGGCGACGAUCCCUAGCUGGUCUGAGAGGAUGACCAGCCACACUGGAACCGAGACACGGUCCAGACUCCUACGGGAGGCAGCAGUGGGGAAUAUUGCACAAUGGGCGCAAGCCUGAUGCAGCCAUGCCGCGUGUAUGAAGAAGGCCUUCGGGUUGUAAAGUACUUUCAGCGGGGAGGAAGGGAGUAAAGUUAAUACCUUUGCUCAUUGACGUUACCCGCAGAAGAAGCACCGGCUAACUCCGUG